GGUGGCUCAGUGGCAGAGUGCUUGCCUUGCAUGCACGAGGCCCUGGGUUCGAUUCCUCAGCACCA
This 65-nucleotide transfer RNA is filed under the name Dipodomys ordii (Ord's kangaroo rat). It matches the Rfam family "tRNA". From Rfam's summary of the family: Transfer RNA (tRNA) molecules are approximately 80 nucleotides in length. Their secondary structure includes four short double-helical elements and three loops (D, anti-codon, and T loops). Further hydrogen bonds mediate the characteristic L-shaped molecular structure. tRNAs have two regions of fundamental functional importance: the anti-codon, which is responsible for specific mRNA codon recognition, and the 3' end, to which the tRNAs corresponding amino acid is attached (by aminoacyl-tRNA synthetases). tRNAs cope with the degeneracy of the genetic code in two manners: having more than one tRNA (with a specific anti-codon) for a particular amino acid; and 'wobble' base-pairing, i.e. permitting non-standard base-pairing at the 3rd anti-codon position. Lineage: Eukaryota; Metazoa; Chordata; Mammalia; Rodentia; Heteromyidae. The record is from Rfam by way of RNAcentral.